GUACUUUAUAUGUACUACAAAUAGAUUGAUGUUUACUGUAAAUAUUGUGUGUGUUCAUGCUUGUCAGUUUCCUUAGGCUUUGUAUUUAGUCCAUUGUUUUGGUUUCCCAGAAGCAGCAUGAAAUCACAUUCACAUUCCUCCAAACAGGAAGUGACAAACAGCCAAGUGAACUGAUGAAGUGAAGUGGCCAGCGAGGCUUUUGGCAGAUCUUUGCUCUGUUCUGGGACUUUUGCUUUUGCCACAUUUCAUAGCUUGAAGAUUCUCCCUACACAGCAGUUUUGGUCUUUAUGAAGUAUGGCUUCAGAUGAUUGAUUACAAACAUUUAUUAUAUUCUAUAAAUACAGAUAUCUAAAUAUAUCUAAAGAUGCAUUUCCUUGAGAAACAAAACAAACCUGAAAAACUGAAAUCUGAAACAUGUAUCAAAAUGUAAUUAUUUUUUGAUUAAAACAAGAAAAAAAGAUAUAUCCAUGGUUAUGAUUUUUUUCUGUCCCUAUUAGCAGAUAUGUGUUCUUGUUUUAAGCAAAAAGUUAAAAAUAAAUAAAUAAAUAAAUAAAUGUGUACACAUAUUUUGCAGUAAAUCUGUUUGAGUAGUUACUAGAUGAUCCACUAGAUGGAGACACAAGAGUUCAGUUCAAUCACUAACAUUAACAAACACAUUCAGCAUUGAAAACACUACAGUAAAGCAUCACAUCGUAACAAGAAAACAGUAGUUUAGAUGUGUUGAGUGAUUUAAAAAGUGCAAAUGAAAUGUUUGAGUGUUUUGACUAAAACAUGACAAACCAUAUUGUGGUCUGAGAAAUCCGGACUCCAGGAUCCCGUCGGUUCCUACAGAAAUGGAAAACCUGGAAAAGGCAGGGAAGUUUAAAACUGUGGUUUGCAAGCCUAGAGAAGUCAAGGAAAUGUCUUGAAAAAUCAUGGAAAUUUACUGGUGAAAAUGUGGGAACUUUGAUUCAUGUCUCGUCAGGUCUGUUAUUAUGAUUUCAAGGAAAAUACACCUAGAAACCAUGAACUGCCUCUCAUGACGAUCCAAACCACUGAAGGACUUUCAUUCUUCUGUGAAAGACAAAAGCAGAUCAGAAAGAUAUGUGAGCUUCUGUUGACCAUACAAAAAAGAUCUGUUUUCAGUGUGUUGUGUUAAAAUGUAAUUUAUUAUGUAUUUAAUAUUUUUCAGGAUUCUUUGAUGAAUAUAAAGUUAUUUUGAAACAUUAUAAAUGUAUUUACUUUCACUUUGGAUCAAUAUAAUGUGUC
Molecule: long non-coding RNA, 1248 nt
Organism: Cyprinus carpio carpio
Lineage: Eukaryota; Metazoa; Chordata; Actinopteri; Cypriniformes; Cyprinidae
Source: Ensembl